Molecule: unclassified non-coding RNA, 253 nt
Filed under: uncultured Flavobacteriaceae bacterium
Lineage: Bacteria; Pseudomonadati; Bacteroidota; Flavobacteriia; Flavobacteriales; Flavobacteriaceae
Description: contains 16S-23S intergenic spacer region
Rfam family: Bacterial small subunit ribosomal RNA
Source: RNAcentral
UACGGAGGGGACUAGCGUUAUCCGGAAUCAUUGGGUUUAAAGGAUCCGUAGGCGGGUUAAUAAGUCAGUGGUGAAAGUCUGCAGCUCAACUGUAGAAUGGCCAUUGAUACUGUUAACCUUGAGUAAUUAUGAAGUGGUUAGAAUAUGUAGUGUAGCGGUGAAAUGCAUAGAUAUUACAUAGAAUACCGAUUGCGAAGGCAGAUCACUAACAAUAUACUGACGCUGAUGGACGAAAGCGUAGGUAGCGAACAGG